This 20-nucleotide microRNA is filed under the name Gyrodactylus salaris (gyrodactylosis fluke). RNAcentral describes it as "gsa-miR-277b-5p". Its record names the gene gsa-miR-277b-5p. Lineage: Eukaryota; Metazoa; Platyhelminthes; Monogenea; Gyrodactylidea; Gyrodactylidae. The record is from miRBase by way of RNAcentral.
AUAGACUCUACAUGUAUUUC